AUGACCAUCAGAACUAUCACCAUGGUUACCAUCAGAACUAUUAUAAUCUUAGAACUAUAAACUAUACUAUAACUUAUAAUUUAUUAGAACUAUUAAAGUUUUGAUGGUCAUGGUAAUAGUUCUGAUGGUAACCAUGGUGACAGUUCUGAUGAUCAU
Molecule: non-coding RNA, 156 nt
Organism: Xyrichtys novacula (pearly razorfish)
Lineage: Eukaryota; Metazoa; Chordata; Actinopteri; Labriformes; Labridae
Source: the annotation of a GenBank genome assembly